This 45-nucleotide non-coding RNA is filed under the name Schistosoma mattheei. Lineage: Eukaryota; Metazoa; Platyhelminthes; Trematoda; Strigeidida; Schistosomatidae. The record is from RNAcentral.
AUCCAGCAGACGAGUCCCAAACAGGACCAAAUGCGCGUCCUGGAU